This 3806-nucleotide long non-coding RNA is filed under the name Sus scrofa (pig). Its description in RNAcentral is "lncRNA (ENSSSCG00065071183.1)". Lineage: Eukaryota; Metazoa; Chordata; Mammalia; Artiodactyla; Suidae. The record is from RNAcentral.
AAUUUCAUUCUUUUUAAUGGCUGAGUAAUAUUCCAUCUAUACAAUCUACAUACUGCAUUUUCUUUAUCCAUUCAUCUGUCGAUGGAAACUUGAGUUGCUCCAUAUCUUGGCAAUUGUAAAUAGUGCUACUGUGAAUAUUGGGAUGCAUGUAUCUUUUCAAAUUAGUGUUUCCAUUUUUUUCUGCAUAUAUUGGAAACGGAUGUAGAGGAAUAGCUAGAUCAUAUGGGAGUUCUAUUUUUAGUUUUUUGAGGACCCUCCUUAUUGUUUUCCAUAGUGGCUGCACUAAUUUACAUUCCCACCAAUAGUGUACAAGGGUUCCCUUUUCUCCACAUCCUCUCCAGUACUGGACCAAAACUUCUUCAGAGAAGCAAAUUUAAACACUCGCCAGAGGAAAUGUACCUAUAUGUAUAGUUUAAGCAGAAUACACAACUGAAAUAAAGGGUAAGAAAUAAACUUGAAAAAAGUUUGGGAAAGUAAAAUUGUUGUUGAUUAUAUUCUCAAUAAAGCUGAAGCCAAAGAGGGUACAUCUCUUCUGCCAAAGCUUUAUGGCAUCAAUAUUCAUAACCUCCAGAAGCAUUCUACUAUAUUUUAAACAUAUAUUACAUAUGACAACUUCCUAUGAAACAUCCUUCUUCUAGCAUUCUAUUAAUGAAAUAUAUUUCCACUAAAUGUCAUCCCCUUUUUAUGAUCUACAGGCAAUAAGACAGUAAAAGCAAUUUUUCAAAAAAAAUUGUUCCAGCCAACAUUAAAGUCAUAUUUUAUAGAAUACAUUUAGCAUCCCAACAUCAAUUUCAUGUAGAGUAUUUUCUUCUGCAAUGAAUAAUACAAAAAUAGAAAUAAUUGUGUUUACUCUAAAAACAGCCAAUAUAUGUGGAAGAUUCUUUCCCCCAACUUCUAUUUCCUUUUCUUUUUCUUUUUUCUUUUUUUUUUUUUUUUUUGUUUGUUUGUUUUUUGUCUUUUUAGGGCUGCACCCAUGGCAUUUGGUGGUUCCCAGGCUAGGGGUCUAAUCGGAGUUGUAGCUGCCAGCCUACGCCACAGCCACAGCAACACGGGAUCCAAGCCNAGCCACAUCUGUGAUCUACACCACAGCUCACGGCAACGCCAGAUCCUUAACCCACUGAGCAAGGCUAGGGAUCAAACCCACAACCUCAUGGCUCCUAGUUGGAUUCAUUUCCGCUGUGCCAUGACGGGAACUCCUCUAUUUCCUUUUCUUAAUAGAGAAAGAUGUUGCACAAUUUGACCAUCAUGAUUCUAAAGACUAAAGUGAUGGAUAGAGAAGCUGCCUUAACUACCAAAUUCACCAAAAGGAAGAGAACAAAUUCAGUCACUUACGCUUCACUGCAAAGCCAAAGAGCUAAAUGAGGGAAAUGAGUUCUGUUCUCAAUAAAUACUCAAAUAAGUAAUCCUCAUUUCUCUAGAUUGCAUUUCCUCUUUACCAAUAAUAUUUGGUAUUUUCUGAUUAGUUGUUUGAUGGGUACCAGAAACAAUAGGAAGAGGCAUGGAAAAAACAAAGAAAAUAUUGCUAUUUUCCUAGUUCUUUCUACUCCACAUAAAAAACUGACAUUUAAACUCUUUUAUAAGCUAGACAUGAUAUUCUUAUAUUAAGCCGUAUCAGUCAAUGCUUCCAAAUAAAUUCAUCCCAUUAACAUAAUGAACAUCAUCUGACUGUAAAAGCAAAAAUAAACCCUCUGUUAGUUUUAGAUUUGGGCUUCUUGACCAGAAUAUGUUAUAAGCACCACUUAAAAUGGUAUGCGAGAAUCAAACUCAAAAAGGAGGUUCUCUUUUCACAAAAAAAGAUUUUCAUUUCUGUUGGCUUAAGGACACCAACCCUAUCACGGGCUUCUUGGAAAUUGUGUCAGCUCUCCUAGUAAAUCAGGAGUCACAUCUCACAAAGGCAAAAGCAGCCGAAAAAUUUAAUGCUAAUUCAAUGGCAGCCAGCCCCUUCCCCAACCCCUUUAACCAUUACAUAAGACGCUGCCAAUUUCCGCUCCUUUUGGCUGAAACUCCAGCCAAGAGUUAAGCAUUACUGGAAUUUAAUUAAAGUAAGUAGGGCAAUUUGAAUUCAACCUUAAAAAGAAUUAAUUUUCAGGUUUUAUUUUUUUAACUGAGGGUAACAAGUAACCAUGAAUAAGAAGCAAUAAUCCAGUCUUUGGGAAAUAUAUCAGCACCAGACUAUUUUGUGAUUAUCCUGUCCUAAAACCAAUGGAUCAUUCUGGAGAAAAUUAAUCCCACAACAGGCAAUGAGGCUGGCUUUAGAGGAAGAAAGGGAAAGCAAAUAUUCUUUUUUUCUCUGGGCUGGAAGUAGUCUAUUUCUUGGUAUAAACACUUUUUUGUUUUGUUGUUCUUGUUUUGUUUUUUGUCACACUGGCAGCAAACUUUGUUGUUUUGCUCGUUUGGAAGUUCCCAGGCCAAAAAUUGAACCUGCGCCACAGCAGUGACAAUGCUGGAUCCUUAACCUGCUGAGCCACCAGGGAAGUCCUUCCUUGGUAUACAUAAAAGAGACAUCUGUACCACUUCCUAGGGCUGUAGAAAUAAGCUGUUCCUAGCUGGACGGAGAAUGGAUGGAGACAAGGCAGGAGACAGCAUGGAGAGAGCCUAGGGCAAGUCAACCUUUGUUCUUUCCACUGUUCCCUUUCCAUUUGCUCUGAACCAUCAGUAAAGCCUCAUUAAAAGCUACAGCUGGAGUUUCUGCUGUGACUCAGUGGGUUAAGAACCUGACAUAGUGUCCAUGAGAAUGUAGAUGCCCGGCCUCACUCAGUGGCUUAAGGAUCCUACACUUGUAGUGUAGGUCACAGAUGCGGCUCAGAUCUGAGGUUGCUGUGGCUGUGGUGUAGGCCAGCAGCUGCAGCUCUGAUUCGACCCCUAGCCUGGGAAUUUCCAUAUGCCAAAGGUGCANAAAAAAAAAAAAAAAAAAAAAAAAAAAAAGUCAACUGACACCUGUGGCUAUGUUAGAAAAAUCUCAACAACACAUACACACAAAGAUGUUUAGUGCAACAUUGUCUACAAAAGCCAACUGGCCAAGGAUCUCUCAAAAAGGACUAGUAAAUCAGAUGUGGUACAACCAUCUUCUUGAACACUAAGCAGUCGCUUUUGUAAGCUAUAAAUGUAUAUACGAACAUGGAACAAGAUAUAUUACGUGAAAAGACAAAGUGGUUUUGUUUUUAAGUCGGCAGGUAGGUAGAUCAUAAUUUUAUAGGUAACAACUGAUAUUAGCGUCCUAAUACACACAUAACUUUUCUCUAGGAAAGAAUCUCAAGAAACUGAUAAUAGUGGUUACCUCAGAUGAUGAGGACUUUUCACCUCUCAUUUUUCUUAUUGAAACUGUUCUUUUAGGACAAAAUAAUGCCAUUUGCACCAAUAUGGAUGGUAUUACAGAUUCUCGUACUAAGUGAAGUCAGUCAGAAAGAGAAAGACAAAUACCAUAUGAGACCACUUAUAUCUGGAAUCUAAAAUAUGACACAAAUGAACCUAUCUACAGAACAGAAAGAGACUCACAGACACGGAGAGCAGACUUGUGGUUGCCAAAGGGGAGGGGGAGGGAGUGGGAUGGAUGGGGAGUUUGGGGUUUAAGGAAGAGCAGCUAUACCGCCAAGUUCAAAAAGUGUUAUUAGCAGAGCAAUCAGGGCAAAAGGAUGCCUCCAAAGCAAGGCUCGAUUAAUCAAAGGGAUUCAGGGACCCAGGCAGGCUAAUCUCCAAGAAUCACUAAUAGGAUGCUUAAACGUUCUGAGCACCAGCAAGUAAAUAUCCUUUAUCACUUUAGGCAGCUUGGCUCUGGGAGGGGAGAAGGCGAGAUAAAUGAGUUCAGU